RNAcentral lists this long non-coding RNA (661 nucleotides) under Equus caballus (horse). RNAcentral's name for it is "lncRNA (ENSECAG00000043089.2)". Lineage: Eukaryota; Metazoa; Chordata; Mammalia; Perissodactyla; Equidae. The record is from RNAcentral.
UAUACCGAAAGGGUCUCUGGUUAUUAGCAAAAUAUAAAAUGCAAAAUUUUAGUCAGCAGUGAUUUUUUUCCCCUUGGGCUGAGAUGGCUUCAUGAAAGUUGAAAUUUUUUUAAAAAGGCAAACCUUGAAAACAACAUCUGGUGUUGGGUUCAGAAAUUAGAACCAGAUAUGCUUCCUUAUCCGUACUUCAGUUCACAUGAUUCGCCUGCCAGAAUGGUGACAGGGAAAAGGGGAAUGAGAAGAGAUCUUUGAAAAUCUGCUCUACAUCUUACAAACGAGAAAAUUGAAAUGGAAUGUUUCCCUGUUUUUAAACAGGGUUUUUCAUGGUGGCGUGGACCUUCGGCUCUUCUGUUGAGCUGCAUCUUCAAACUGUGAAGGACUUGAAAUGAAUCACUGGAGACCACCCAACAUCUUUCAGACGUUUAGAUUAAACUCAAAAGCAUAGAAGUGUUCUUAAUAGCUAAAAGGUUAAUACUUUUCAAAUCCCGGGUCAGACUACCCCAGGAGAAAGCCAGAGACACUCUGGUGACCUGGAAAUCCCACAGGCCCCCAGGUGACGUCCCAGGGCUGCUCCUCCACAUUCCACACAUUUUGCUGUCUGGCAAUACCAUGUCAGUUUGAAGCGGAAUGCAGGCUCACACUGUCCCACAGCUGAAAUUCU